RNAcentral lists this ribosomal RNA (876 nucleotides) under uncultured bacterium. RNAcentral describes it as "bacterial SSU rRNA". It matches the Rfam family "Bacterial small subunit ribosomal RNA", at positions 83 to 954 of the family's 1533-position model. The record is from RNAcentral.
GGUGCGAGUAGAGCGGCGGACGGGUGAGUAACGCGUAGGAAUCUACCUAGUAGAAGGGGAUAGCCCGAGGAAACUCGGAUUAAUACCGUAUACCUCCUUAGGGAGAAAGAGGGCUUAGCUUUGAUGCUCUCGCUAUUAGAUGAGCCUGCGUAAGAUUAGCUUGUUGGUGAGGUAAUGGCUCACCAAGGCGACGAUCUUUAACUGGUCUGAGAGGACGAUCAGCCACAUUGGGACUGAGACACGGCCCAGACUCCUACGGGAGGCAGCAGUGGGGAAUAUUGGACAAUGGGCGCAAGCCUGAUCCAGCCGUACCGCGUGUGUGAAGAAGGCUUUCGGGUUGUAAAGCACUUUAAGUAAGGAGAAAAAGAUUGUAGUUAAUACCUGCAAUCCUUGAUGUUACUUACAGAAUAAGGACCGGCUAAUUCCGUGCCAGCAGCCGCGGUAAUACGGAAGGUCCAAGCGUUAAUCGGAAUUACUGGGCGUAAAGCGCGCGUAGGUGGUUUUUUAAGUUGGAUGUGAAAGCCCUGGGCUCAACCUAGGAACUGCAUCCAAAACUAGAUGACUAGAGUACGAAAGAGGGAAGUAGAAUUCACAGUGUAGCGGUGGAAUGCGUAGAUAUUGUGAAGAAUACCAAUGGCGAAGGCAGCUUCCUGGUUCUGUACUGACACUAAGGUGCGAAAGCGUGGGUAGCGAACAGGAUUAGAUACCCUGGUAGUCCACGCCGUANACGAUGACAACUAGCUGUUGGGAGACUAGAUCUCUCAGUGGCGCAGCUAACGCUUUAAGUUGUCCGCCUGGGGAGUACGGCCGCAAGGCUAAAACUCAAAUGAAUUGACGGGGACCCGCACAAGCGGUGGAGCAUGUGGUUUAAUUCGA